GAUGAACGCUGGCGGCGUGCCUAAUACAUGCAAGUCGAGUGAACAGACGAGGAGCUUGCUCCUCUGACGUUAGCGGCGGACGGGUGAGUAACACGUGGAUAACCUACCUAUAAGACUGGGAUAACUUCGGGAAACCGGAGCUAAUACCGGAUAAUAUAUUGAACCGCAUGGUUCAAUAGUGAAAGACGGUUUUGCUGUCACUUAUAGAUGGAUCCGCGCCGCAUUAGCUAGUUGGUAAGGUAACGGCUUACCAAGGCGACGAUGCGUAGCCGACCUGAGAGGGUGAUCGGCCACACGGGAACUGAGACACGGUCCAGACUCCUAAGGGAGGCAGCAGUAGGGAAUCUUCCGAAAUGGGCGAAAGCCUGACGGAGCAACGCCGCGUGAGUGAUGAAGGUCUUCGGAUCGUAAAACUCUGUUAUUAGGGAAGAACAAAUGUGUAAGUAACUAUGCACGUCUUGACGGUACCUAAUCAGAAAGACACGGCUAACUACGUG
This 497-nucleotide ribosomal RNA is filed under the name uncultured bacterium. Its description in RNAcentral is "partial 16S ribosomal RNA". It matches the Rfam family "Bacterial small subunit ribosomal RNA", at positions 28 to 507 of the family's 1533-position model. The record is from RNAcentral.